This 401-nucleotide transfer-messenger RNA is filed under the name Campylobacteraceae bacterium. It matches the Rfam family "transfer-messenger RNA". From Rfam's summary of the family: Bacterial tmRNA, also known as 10Sa RNA or SsrA, is named for its dual tRNA and mRNA-like properties. Its role is to liberate the mRNA from a stalled ribosome. Lineage: Bacteria; Pseudomonadati; Campylobacterota; Epsilonproteobacteria; Campylobacterales; Campylobacteraceae. The record is from RNAcentral. RNAcentral also lists the same sequence under 1 other name.
GGGGAUGACUUGGUAUCGAUUAGAGCAGUGAGGAUCAGUUGCAUGUCGGCCUGAACAUGCCGUUACGCGGUUCAUUUUUUUUAGACGCAAACAAUACUGAUUACGCUCCAGCUUACGCAAAAGCUGCGUAAGUUUUAACAAACUUAUAGGACUCGCCUUAGGGCUUGAGACCUCGGAGGCUCACACUACUGAUUCUAUCUAGGUAGAUUUCGUGGGUUCACCCAAGAUAGAUUAUCAUCUUAGAGUUGAUUUGGCUAAUUUGAGACACUUUUAAAUCUUAGCUUCGCAAUUGUUUUUGCGGGUUGAGCUGUUGUGAAGUGAAAUUUUUCAACCCUUCUAAGCAUGUAGACGCUGGUAGUAGCUGUUUUAAGACUGGAGUUCGAUUCUCCACAUCUCCACCA